AUGCCCACGUGCCCAGGCUGCAGCUCGUGGCUCUUGGUGUCACCCAUGGGAUGUGGGACGUGCCCGUGGCCCCGUGCCACCACAGGCAGGGCCCCGUGGUGCCAAGUGUCCCCUCACAGCGGUGGCAGCACGGGGCCCCCAGGCGCUGGGCACGGCCGCGUCCCUGGCGCUGCCUCCCACCGCCGCCUGUCCAGGCGUCCGUCCCCGAGCACGGCGCGGCCCCGGGGAUGGAGGGAGGACGCCGGGGUGGCCAGGGCACGGCCGCAGCCGCCGGGGCCGCCUGUUUACAUGCCUGGGGAUCAUUGCCUGUCUCGCUCAGGUGCCUUGAAAGCCGCCGUCGCCGGGGCUCUAAGUACUAACGCUCGUGAAGGCAUCCAUACAUCUGCUCCGGGCUGCAGUGAAUCAUCCCGCAGCAAUGCCCGUGGCCGAGCCAGCCGGGCUGGACCUGAGCUGGGGGGGACACAGCAGGGUCGGGGCGCUGGUGACGGGACGGCCGAGCUGCGCCUGGCUGGGCCAGGCUGCGGAGCGGGCGCAAGCCGGAGGGCAGCGUGUGGGCACCGGCACCGGGACAGAGGCUCCUGUGCUGGGAAGAGGUGGGGAAGGGGCAGUUCCUCUCCCGGGGGACACCAGGGCCUGAGCCAGUGGCACCCAUGGGUGCACGCAGCCACAGUUUGCCCUGGGUGUUGGGGGCUGCUGGUGGUGUGCUCGGGCCCGCUCUCCUUUUCGGGAAGCGCUGAGCUUCACUUCCACAGCCGCCGUGUUUCACUUCCACACCGAGCGCCCCAAUCACCCACGCAGGGCCCCGAGGCGAGGAGGAGGAGGAGGAGGAGCGGAGGAGGAGCCGUGGGCUGCAGCCUCCCUCCUGCCUUGCACCCCAGGAGCCAUUCGGCCCUGGUGACCAGCUCGUGGUGCAGCGGCACGGCCGGAGCCGAGUGGGCGCGCGGCACCCGGCCCAGUGCAGCUCCACGGCCAGCCCGGCUCCGGGUCCGGCCGCGGACAGGGCUGGUCACCGCUGUCCCCUCAGGUCCUGCAUGGCGGUGGGAGCGGUGUUUCUGGGUCACGUUCGGCUGGGUGAGGACCAGCGGUGGCAUGGUGGGCACUGUCACCAUGGCACGGCCACCACGGGCUCUUGUAAGGGGCGGGGGGUCUGCACCCCAAAACCCUCCAUCCCCGCACCACAGGGGCUGGCUCACUGCGGCCGCAUCCUGCGAGCCUUUCGGCCGCGCUCCCCGCGCCCAGUGAUGCUCAGCUCCUUUCCCAUCGCCGCCUCCCGCCACCCUCCACCCCUGUGAGCUUAUUACAGGCUUCUCCGGCCAAUGUGCCGAUUAACCCCGCAUCAGUAAUUAAACCAUUCCGGGAUACCACGGACCCAGGCUUACUUGUCCCUGCCUGGAAAAUAAACCAUCCUAAAUGAGCCCUGGAACA
This 1425-nucleotide long non-coding RNA is filed under the name Anser cygnoides (Swan goose). RNAcentral describes it as "lncRNA (ENSACDG00005005005.1)". The record is from RNAcentral. Lineage: Eukaryota; Metazoa; Chordata; Aves; Anseriformes; Anatidae.